GACGAACGCUGGCGGCAUGCCUAACACAUGCAAGUCGAGCGAGUUGAUUUCUUCGGAAUGAAGCUAGCGGCGGACGGGUGAGUAACACGUGGGCAACCUGCCUCAUAGAGGGGAAUAGCCUUCCGAAAGGAAGAUUAAUACCGCAUAAGAUUGUAGUACCGCAUGGUAUAGCAAUUAAAGGAGUAAUCCGCUAUGAGAUGGGCCCGGGGCUCAUUAGCUAGUUGGUGAGGUAACGGCUCACCAAGGCGACGAUGCGUAGCCGACCUGAGAGGGUGAUCGGCCACAUUGGGACUGAGACACGGCCCAGACUCCUACGGGAGGCAGCAGUGGGGAAUAUUGAACAAUGGGGGAAACCCUGAUGCAGCAAUGCCGCGUGAGUGAUGACGGCCUUCGGGUUGUAAAGCUCUGUCUUCGGGGACGAUAAUGACGGUACCCGAGGAGGAAGCCACGGCUAACUACGUGCCAGCAGCCGCCGUAA
RNAcentral lists this ribosomal RNA (478 nucleotides) under uncultured bacterium. Its description in RNAcentral is "partial 16S ribosomal RNA". It matches the Rfam family "Bacterial small subunit ribosomal RNA", at positions 28 to 523 of the family's 1533-position model. The record is from RNAcentral.